AUGCAUGUGUAAGUGUAAAUAUCAUAGUUUGGAACUGCGAAUGGCUCAUUAUAUCAGUUAUAGUUUAUUUGGUGAAGUGUACUACUUGGAUAACCGUAGUAAUUCUAGGGCUAAUACAUGAGUAAAUCCUCUGGUGAGGUGUGUUUAUUAGAAUGAAAACCAUAUGCUUCGGCAUGAUAGUGAGUAAUAGUAACCUAUCGUAUCGCAUGCUUAAUGUAGCGAUGAGUCUUUCAAGUUUCUGCCCUAUCAGCUUUCGAUGGUAGCAUAUGGGUCUACCAUGGCAGUAACGGGUAACGAAGAA
Molecule: ribosomal RNA, 301 nt
Filed under: Blastocystis sp. subtype 1
Lineage: Eukaryota; Bigyra; Opalinata; Blastocystidae
Description: SSU rRNA
Rfam family: Eukaryotic small subunit ribosomal RNA
Source: RNAcentral